GGGGGCGACAUGGCUUCGACAUGGGUCGCGAAACCUUCGGUGCAUGUAGAGCAUUGUGGCUUGACUCUUAAAACCAGCUACAAAAGUUAUAGUUGCAAACGACGAUAACUACGCACUAGCAGCUUAGGCAGCUAGGGUCUCACCGGAGUUGUUCAUGGCUUUGGAUUCGAGAUCUCAUCUAACAUGAAAUCGCUAGUUGUUUGUGUCGAUUAAACAACGGUUAAAACGCAAGUCGACUCACCCGAUACCGAGUGCGUUUGUCCAGUUGGUAAGGGCUAAAUUAAAGACAAACUAAACAUGUAGAUCCGAUGAGCGGAGGACUUGUGGACGCGGGUUCGAUCCCCGCCGCCUCCACCA
RNAcentral lists this transfer-messenger RNA (357 nucleotides) under Arenicella xantha. Its description in RNAcentral is "Standard tmRNA". It matches the Rfam family "transfer-messenger RNA". Rfam says of the family: Bacterial tmRNA, also known as 10Sa RNA or SsrA, is named for its dual tRNA and mRNA-like properties. The record is from Rfam by way of RNAcentral. Lineage: Bacteria; Pseudomonadati; Pseudomonadota; Gammaproteobacteria; Arenicellales; Arenicellaceae.